UACAGAGGUCUCGAGCGUUAGGCGGAAUCACUGGGCUUAAAGCGUGUGUAGGCGGAUCGUUAAGUGCCUUGUGAAAUCCCACGGCUCAACCGUGGAACUGCUUGGCAUACUGGCGGUCUUGAGCAACCUAGGGGCGAGCGGAACAAAUGGUGGAGCGGUGAAAUGCGUAGAUAUCAUUUGGAACGCCAAUGGUGAAAACAGCUCGCUGGGGGUUUGCUGACGCUGAGGAGCGAAAGCGUGGGGAGCGAACAGG
This 253-nucleotide ribosomal RNA is filed under the name uncultured bacterium. RNAcentral describes it as "partial 16S ribosomal RNA". It matches the Rfam family "Bacterial small subunit ribosomal RNA", at positions 524 to 776 of the family's 1533-position model. The record is from RNAcentral.